GGGCUUGUACUGGUUUCGACAGGCCGGCUGAAGAUGGAGAAGCUAUCCGUGGACUGUGACCACGUUAAAACGCAGAAAAAAAUAAACGCUGAAGACAAUUUAGCAUACGCAGCCUAAUGGCUGCUGUCUGACUUAGGGCACCUACACCUUAAGACCCAGGCAUCAAUGAUGUAGGAAACGACGUAUAUUAAGCUUUGCGUAUACGGGCGUAUCAUGAAGCUACUAAAACCUGCAGGAUGUUCAUUUUCGUCAGGCGGAGGGAAUGUCAAAGAAUGAACUAUGAUAGUAGAAGUACAUGGGAUUCCGGUUUGGACGCGGGUUCGAUUCCCGCCAGGUCCAUUA
RNAcentral lists this transfer-messenger RNA (342 nucleotides) under Eubacterium sp. It matches the Rfam family "transfer-messenger RNA". Rfam says of the family: Bacterial tmRNA, also known as 10Sa RNA or SsrA, is named for its dual tRNA and mRNA-like properties. Its role is to liberate the mRNA from a stalled ribosome. Lineage: Bacteria; Bacillati; Bacillota; Clostridia; Eubacteriales; Eubacteriaceae. The record is from RNAcentral. RNAcentral also lists the same sequence under 1 other name.